RNAcentral lists this ribosomal RNA (403 nucleotides) under uncultured bacterium. Its description in RNAcentral is "bacterial SSU rRNA". It matches the Rfam family "Bacterial small subunit ribosomal RNA", at positions 356 to 773 of the family's 1533-position model. The record is from RNAcentral.
AGGGAAUAUUGCACAAUGGAGGAAACUCUGAUGCAGCGACGCCGCGUGAGUGAUGAAGGCCUUCGGGUCGUAAAGCUCUGUCGCAGGGGAAUAAGCAAGUGAAUGUACCCUGAAAGAAAGGAUCGGCUAACUUCGUGCCAGCAGCCGCGGUAAGACGAGGGAUCCUAGCGUUGUUCGGAAUUAUUGGGCGUAAAGCGGGUGUAGGUGGCUUUGUAAGUCAGGUGUGAAAGCCCAGGGCUCAACCCUGGAAGUGCAUUUGAUACUGCGAAGCUUGAGUGUAGGAGAGGUUACUAGAAUUCUUGGUGUAGUGGUGAAAUACGUAGAUAUCAAGAGGAAUACCGGAGGCGAAAGCGGGUAACUGGCCUAACACUGACACUCAGACCCGAAAGCGUGGGGAUCAAAC